This 983-nucleotide long non-coding RNA is filed under the name Betta splendens (Siamese fighting fish). Its description in RNAcentral is "lncRNA (ENSBSLG00000022747.1)". The record is from RNAcentral. Lineage: Eukaryota; Metazoa; Chordata; Actinopteri; Anabantiformes; Osphronemidae.
UCCUCUCUUUACUCGCUUGAUGCUUUGUCAUCCGUGAUUAAAAGCAUGAAUAAGACAUGGAAAUGCUGCUUGGUUGUUUUUCCCCUCUGUGCUGUGGCAAACAGUCUGCACAUCGGCCUCUAAUGACCCGGAGCUGCCGUUACCGGGCGGAUUAUCGCCUGGGUAAGUGUCUCGGAGCAGUUCGGGCGGAUGCUCAUUGCUUUUGCUUAUUGCUAAUGUGAGCCGUCGUGCACUGUGGUUCAGCCUGCUGUGGUAUGAAGCUCCGGGUCGUCGUGGACCAGAACCAGCAUAAUGAUGGACUGCGUGCCCCUGUGUUUCUCCAGGAGCCUGCUGGAGGAGGAGGAGGCGAGGCUGUGCGACCUGUGACUCGAGGCCCGGCGGCUCCGGGAGCGUCUGGCGUGCGGCCGAACGCUCCCACGCUCACGCGGAUUAGAAAGCAGACAGAGGAGAAACGCAGAACCCAGAUCAGCAGUAGGGUGAAGCAUAAGUGUGUGUCCUGGUUCCCAAACGUGAGCCCACCCAGUGGAGCGGAUACGGUUACAGCGCGCGCUACGACGAGGGCUCUCUACGGGCGCUGGAAGGUGAUGCGGAUCACGUGACACCUCUGCUGCUCCCUCGCUAGAGGACAACCUCGUUUCCAUGGCAACUGCACAAACAUCUGUCUCCCACUUCUUGAGACAAUAUACAACGCUCUAGUUGUUUGUACUGGGCAUGUUCGUGUCUUUGCGUCUGAUGGUUUUCCUCCAGUAUCACACCAUACGUGAUGAUGUCGUCAUUGGAAGGACUCGAUAUUUUGUUUUCAUGAACGCCUGACUAACAUCAGCAGUGUGUUGAAUAAUUAUAAUGGAAAAGACUCGACCUUUUAUUAGUGACUUAAUAAUAACUGUUAAUGUUUUACAGUCAGUCAAUGAUGUUUGUACCGUAAAUGAUUUAAUGUGCUUAUUAAAACCAGGGUCACCUUUAAUAAAGCUCUUCUAACAACC